GUGAAUCAUCGAAUCUUUGAACGCACAUUGCGCCCGCCAGUAUUCUGGCGGGCAUGCCUGUUCGAGCGUCAUUUCAACCCUCAAGCUCUGCUUGGCGUUGGGGAUCGGCAGCCCGGCUUCGCGCCGCGCCGUCCCCCAAAUACAGUGGCGGUCUCGCUGCAGCUUCCUUUGCGUAGUAGCACACCUCGCACCGGAGAGCAGCGCGGCCACGCCGUAAAACCCCCGACUUCUUGUUUUUGACCUCGAAUCAGGUAGGACUACCCGCUGAACUUAAGCAUAUCAAUAAGCGGAGGA
This 294-nucleotide unclassified non-coding RNA is filed under the name Myxocephala sp. Its description in RNAcentral is "partial contains 5.8S ribosomal RNA, internal transcribed spacer 2, and large subunit ribosomal RNA". The stretch from base 1 to 71 matches the Rfam family "5.8S ribosomal RNA", at positions 84 to 154 of the family's 154-position model. The record is from RNAcentral. Lineage: Eukaryota; Fungi; Ascomycota; Sordariomycetes.